This 255-nucleotide unclassified non-coding RNA is filed under the name uncultured Alphaproteobacteria bacterium. RNAcentral describes it as "contains 16S-23S intergenic spacer region". It matches the Rfam family "Bacterial small subunit ribosomal RNA", at positions 524 to 776 of the family's 1533-position model. The record is from RNAcentral. Lineage: Bacteria; Pseudomonadati; Pseudomonadota; Alphaproteobacteria.
GACGGAGGGUGCUAGCGUUGUUCGGAAUCACUGGGCGUAAAGGGCGCGUAUGCGGCUCUGGCAGUCGGCUUUGUGAAAGCCCGGGGCUCAACCCCGGAGGUGCGGCCGAAACACCAGGGCUUGAGGCCGGAAGAGGAGGGUGGAAUACCCAGUGUAGAGGUGAAAUUCGUAGAUAUUGGGUGGAACACCGGUGGCGAAAGCGGCUCUCUGGUCCGGACCUGACGCUGAGGCGCGAAAGCGUGGGGAGCAAACAGG